This 17-nucleotide small RNA is filed under the name Arabidopsis thaliana (thale cress). RNAcentral describes it as "ATSL246320". The record is from RNAcentral. Lineage: Eukaryota; Viridiplantae; Streptophyta; Magnoliopsida; Brassicales; Brassicaceae.
CAAAAAAAAACCAAAAC